Molecule: ribosomal RNA, 483 nt
Filed under: uncultured bacterium
Lineage: Bacteria
Description: bacterial SSU rRNA
Rfam family: Bacterial small subunit ribosomal RNA
Source: RNAcentral
UGGGGAAUUUUGGACAAUGGGCGAAAGCGCCUGAUCCAGCAAUGCCGCGUGAGUGAAGUAAAGGCCUUCGGGUUGUAAAGCUCUUUUGUCAGGGAAGAAACGGUGAGGGCUAAUAUCCCUUGCUAAUGACGGUACCUGAAGAAUAAGCACCGGCUAACUACGUGCCAGCAGCCGCGGUAAUACGUAGGGUGCAAGCGUUAAUCGGAAUUACUGGGCGUGGAUCAAAGCGUGCGCAGGCGGUUUUGUAAGUCUGAUGUGAAAUCCCCGGGCUCAACCUGGGAAUUGCAUUGGAGACUGCAAGGCUAGAAUCUGGCAGAGGGGGGUAGAAUUCCACGUGUAGCAGUGAAAUGCGUAGAUAUGUGGAGGAACACCGAUGGCGAAGGCAGCCCCCUGGGUCAAGAUUGACGCUCAUGCACGAAAGCGUGGGGAGCAAACAGGAUUAGAUACCCUGGUAGUCCACGCCCUAAACGAUGUCUAUUAGUU